GAUGAACGCUGGCGGCGUGCCUAAUACAUGCAAGUCGAGCGAACGGACGAGAAGCUUGCUUCUCUGAUGUUAGCGGCGGACGGGUGAGUAACACGUGGAUAACCUACCUAUAAGACUGGGAUAACUUCGGGAAACCGGAGCUAAUACCGGAUAAUAUUUUGAACCGCAUGGUUCAAAAGUGAAAGACGGUCUUGCUGUCACUUAUAGAUGGAUCCGCGCUGCAUUAGCUAGUUGGUAAGGUAACGGCUUACCAAGGCAACGAUGCAUAGCCGACCUGAGAGGGUGAUCGGCCACCCUGGAACUGAGACACGGUCCAGACUCCUACGGGAGGCCGCAGUAGGGAAUCUUACGCAAUGGGCGAAGGCCUGACGGAGCAACGCCGCGGGAGUGAUGAAGGUCUUCGGCUCGUAAAACUCUGUUAUUAGGGAAGAACAUAUGUGUAAGUAACUGUGCACAUCUUGACGGUACCUAAUCAGAAAGCCACGGCUAACUACGUG
This 497-nucleotide ribosomal RNA is filed under the name uncultured bacterium. Its description in RNAcentral is "partial 16S ribosomal RNA". It matches the Rfam family "Bacterial small subunit ribosomal RNA", at positions 28 to 507 of the family's 1533-position model. The record is from RNAcentral.